This is a long non-coding RNA of Oreochromis niloticus (Nile tilapia), 1526 nucleotides long. RefSeq lists it as uncharacterized. The record is from RefSeq and is a predicted model, not a curated record. NCBI's taxonomy places the organism in Eukaryota, Metazoa, Chordata, Actinopteri, Cichliformes, Cichlidae. The transcript is spliced from 5 exons.
AUCUUCAUUUUUCUUUGAAUGAACGCCUCAGAAUAGCAGACUCAUUCAUUAAAUGUUUGGGGGAGUGUCGCCCAAGUGACCCAGGUGUCCCCAAGUGUUACUGUCAACAGGUGACAAUCAGCACCACAACAACAACAAAGCAACACAAACAGCUGCACUGAGAAACAGCUCCCUGUACCUGCACACCAAACUCAGAGUAGCAGCCAAGCACCUGGGCAUCCCGAGCUCCAGUGUUGGCACUGAUGCUCAUGCAUGGGGAGAGUUGGGGGAGGAGGCGGGGAGGAGGCGCUGUGUUGGCUGACUACUUCAUUCACAAAGCCAUUCACUGUGCAAUUAACCAAAGAGAGGAAUUCCCCGGAGUGACGGAAGGGAGUCAUUUCCCCUGUUACAGCUAAUAAAGCACUAAUUGCCCUCUGGGUUGGGACGUGAGUUAUGAGCAGGAGCUGAGAAACCACAACAUAUUGACAGUCUGGUCAGUCUGCUCACAGACUCUAUUAGUCACACAGCACAGAAGCCUGCUAACUCCCCUCCUUUCCUGUGUUUAUUUCACAAAUGUGCAUGAGUGAGAGUAAAUUUGCCAGCCACUCCACUUCCCAGUUUGCUUGCCAGCAGUUUUCUCCAGCCAAGUUGAGCCACAGCUGUUUACAAAGAAGGUGUUUCUGUUGCUACAGCCAGCCGGCCUUGGAUCAUAGGUUUGGUUGAAGCAUUGACCAGGUACAGACUCCAGCUUUACGGAAUGUGUUGUGCAACAAUAUUAUGGGAAUAUUACACAGCACUGACCUGAACCUGCUGAGGAAUAACAGUUAAGGAUACCACCUUAACCAAAAACAAAGGGCAUUGCUAAUCCAGUGUCAUAAUAACAACAACAGAAAUCAUACACCUGUGUGACUUGUGACAGAAAACACAAUGGGAGGGGCCCCUUUGUGAUGCCAUCACUGUCUUUACUGGCUAAAAAAACUAGUUUCCAGGUAGAUUAAAGGUCUGCUGAAACCUGUGGGGAGCCAGUCCGGUUGUCACUAUUUAUCUGGUUGUCACCAUUUCAGGUCAUAGAUGUCUAAAGACUGUUAAGCUUCCAACACCACAUCCAGAAAAAAACCUGUUCUUUAUGGAUCCAUAUUUAUGUAAUAAAGAUGCACUGUGACACUAAUUGCUCUCUGAUUAUAAUAGGUAGCCUAGUGUCUGUAGUACUCCGUGCAUGAGUGUGCAGCUGGAGAGGCUAGUGGAGUGGUGUGCAUGUGAAACCGAAGCCCAUCCACACCUUGCCUCGUCUGCUCUCUCCUCUCCUCAAAGGCUUCAGCCCUCAGUGGCAUUUGUGUGAAUCCAACUUCUUGCCGCCAUGGUAACCAGAGCAGAGAGAGGAUUGGAUAUAAAUGAGAGAAAGUGAGAGGGCAUGACCCGAACAUCACACAGUCUCCCAUGAUGCUGUGUUUAGUAUUCUGGCUGAAUGAGCAGUGCUCACUCUGCUACAGUAAUAACUGGACAAUUUGGACUUAAUUAUCAUCUUCCUACUUACUUCAUUGUUUUAA